UACAGAGGGGGCAAGCGUUGUUCGGAAUUACUGGGCGUAAAGGGCGCGUAGGUGGCCUUCUAAGUUGAACGUGAAAUCCCUGGGCUCAACCCAGGAACUGCGUCCAAGACUGGGAGGCUUGAAUCCGGGAGAGGGAUGCGGAAUUCCAGGUGUAGCGGUGAAAUGCGUAGAUAUCUGGAGGAACACCGGUGGCGAAGGCGGCAUCCUGGACCAACACUGACGCUGAGUGAGCGAAAGCCAGGGGAGCAAACGGG
RNAcentral lists this ribosomal RNA (254 nucleotides) under uncultured bacterium. Its description in RNAcentral is "partial 16S ribosomal RNA". It matches the Rfam family "Bacterial small subunit ribosomal RNA", at positions 524 to 776 of the family's 1533-position model. The record is from RNAcentral.